Molecule: long non-coding RNA, 1875 nt
Organism: Ictalurus punctatus (channel catfish)
Lineage: Eukaryota; Metazoa; Chordata; Actinopteri; Siluriformes; Ictaluridae
Source: Ensembl
CUAAAUUAGAGAUGGUGCUGGACCAACAAACCACUGAGAUUGCUUCAACUACAGGAGGUCCAGGUGCAGCCUUUGGAUAUUGAUGAAGAUUUACUGCCCUGCAAGACCUUCCUCAACUGCAUAGUCUGGAGCGAAGGAUGCAACAGAGCCCAGAUUACAAGCAAAAUCUGUUCAUAGAAACCUCUUUACGGCUAAUGCUGCAGAGAUGGAGGCCGAGGGGACCAUGAAGAGGUGGCUCCAGCUGGCAUCAGAUCAAGAGUGUGGGUGCAAGAGAAGUCUUUUGCAAAAGGAAGCUGGGUGGGUACACAGUUGCGGUCGGAAGUUUACAUACCCCUUGCUGAAUCUACAAAAUAUUAAUGCUCUUAACAAAAUAAGAUUGAUCCUGUGCAAUCGUUGGGAACUCCAUUGUGCGAAACGUCCGCGUCGCUUCAACAAGGGGUAAGGUGCACACACAGUUUUUCUUUUGCUUGUGUCCUUGAUGUCGCUGAGCAGCUACCAGGAAUCCUGAAGAAGGACGAGUGCAUUGGAGCAGUCGUGCUGCACGUGGGGGCAAACAUCAGGCUGAGGCAGACGGAGGUUCUGAAGAGGAACUUCGCCAGCCUGAUCGAGACGGUACGAGGCAGAUCACUAACCGCGAAGAUCAUCGUCUCUGGACCUCUUCCCUCAUACAGAUGUGGAGCUGAAAAGUUCAGUAGACUUCUAGCACUAAAUGAUUGGUUAGUUUCUUGGUGUAAUUAACAGGAAUCUGCUGUUUGUUAAUAACUGGAAUCUGUUCUGGGAGCGUCCUAGGUUGUUUCAUCCUGAUGGCCUGCACUCCAGCAGCUUCGGAGCGGAACUGCUGUCAGACAACAUCUCCAAGACACUACAAACCAAGUGACUGCCUACCGUCAAAUUAUUCGUAAACAUGGAAUGAAUUUCCACUGUUAUGCUGAUGAUACAGAGCUGCAUGUUUGCAACUGAACAAGAACAACAAUAAACAACAACUGAAGAAUAGCGAAAAACUUCAACUGUUUUCGUGCUUACUUGAAGACGAUGAGGCAGAGCAGCAUCGGAGAGACAGUUCGCUCCAUUCUCCAAAGAAUCGGGGAGAACAGUCUGUGGUGUAUGUUUUUGUUGAAAGUGUCAAAAGGUGGGAAGCUGGCUUUGACUGAUCAGGAUGAAGUGUGUCGCCUUGUACACUAUAUUGCCGAACAAGCACAUGGACGUGAAUAUACUGUUGCCGGUUGCAGAGAGGCCAUCAGCAGCUACCUAAAAAAUGCCCCAGGCAGGAAAAGUGGCAAGAAACAUAUUAUGAGUGUUUAUGAUGAAGCAGAGCUACAUGGGAUCUCUAGUGCGUCCUGCAAGAAUUGGGCCUUAGUCCAGUUCAGAUUCAAUUUUGUAAUCUCAUUCCUCUCCCUCGCGUGACAGCCUCCAAACAGUACAAUUCUAAUGAGCUUGAAUAUACGGGGAAUUCCAUUGGGUUUGAUGUCUGACUAAUUAAAGACCCACCUCUUCUAUGAACACCUAACCAACUCAUAAUAAAAAAUUUUUAAAAAAAAUGCACUUACACCUCUAGUCUGCACUUUGCUUCUUCUAGAAUUCAAUGAAUAGAUCUUGUAUGGUAGCUGCUCUUGUAUUGUUCUCUGCUUGAUAUAUCGCUUUGCUUGUAUCUUUCUUAUUUGUAAGUCGCUUUGGAUAAAAGCGUCUGCUAAGUGAAUAAAUGUAAUGCAAAUGUAGUAAAUUGUUUUCUUUGAUUAGCAAUACAUAGGUACUAUAUCUGGCUGUUUUCUGUGUUACAAUAUUGAAUGUCAUUUUUCAGCUAUUCACUUUGUCUGCAUUUACUAAAAUUCAUGCAUGUUUAUUAAAAAUAUUCACGGAGUUUGUUAAACUAUAUAA